This is a non-coding RNA of Trichonephila clavata, 78 nucleotides long. NCBI's taxonomy places the organism in Eukaryota, Metazoa, Arthropoda, Arachnida, Araneae, Nephilidae. The record is from the annotation of a GenBank genome assembly.
UCUUGUGUCCCUGUUGCGCAAUGGUUAGCGCGUUGGACUUUUAAUCCAAAACUUGUGGGUUCGAAUUCCACAUGAGAG